This 516-nucleotide ribosomal RNA is filed under the name Triticum aestivum (bread wheat). RNAcentral describes it as "partial small subunit ribosomal RNA". The record is from RNAcentral. Lineage: Eukaryota; Viridiplantae; Streptophyta; Magnoliopsida; Poales; Poaceae.
CCUCCCCGUACUCAAAUCGUCUUCCUCCCCUUUGCCAGAUUCUGUACCAGUACAUCCUCUUGAAGCUAGGGUUAAGGUCCAGCGAGCUCAAAGAUUGAUCUCAGAGCUUAACGAAACGCGGCUGUCUCUCCCUCUUCUGUACCACUCAGGCGAAUUAGGGCUAUUAAAUUUCGACGGUCUCUCUCAACAAUCCGCCGCCGGCGCCGCCGGCGCCGUCAGCACUAUCCAACGAUAGCAGCUCAAGGAUGUAGGUCAUUACGGAGUCUCAUUGCCCGGAGCCGGUAAAUCUGUUGAAGAGCCUGAGCUAUGACUGGGUAAUCUUCAGAGGAGUCAUCUUCAUAGGUCUCCAAGAUGGCAUUGAUGAAACUGAUAAUUUCACCUCUCAUACUAGUCCAGAUCGUGUAUGGCUGUCUCAGGCUUCAGUUUUUGUAGCACCAUGUAAUCAUCAAGAAUGUACAUUUGCUAGAAAAUCUUGUAUGCAGGUUUUCUGUAGUUUACAUGAGUGGUUGUUGUACA